This 759-nucleotide ribosomal RNA is filed under the name uncultured cyanobacterium. RNAcentral describes it as "bacterial SSU rRNA". It matches the Rfam family "Bacterial small subunit ribosomal RNA", at positions 28 to 829 of the family's 1533-position model. Lineage: Bacteria; Bacillati; Cyanobacteriota. The record is from RNAcentral.
GAUGAACGCUGGCGGUCUGCUUAACACAUGCAAGUCGAACGGAAUCUUUCGGGAUUUAGUGGCGGACGGGUGAGUAACGCGUGAGAAUCUGCCUUCAGGUUCGGGACAACAGCUGGAAACGGCUGCUAAUACCGGAUAUGCCGAGAGGUGAAAGCUUAAGUGCCUGGAGAUGAGCUCGCGUCUGAUUAGCUAGUAGGAGUGGUAACGGCACCCCUAGGCGACGAUCAGUAGCUGGUCUGAGAGGAUGAUCAGCCACACUGGGACUGAGACACGGCCCAGACUCCUACGGGAGGCAGCAGUGGGGAAUUUUCCGCAAUGGGCGCAAGCCUGACGGAGCAAGACCGCGUGAGGGAAGAAGGUCUGUGGAUUGUAAACCUCUUUUGAUAGGGAAGAAGACAGUGACGGUACCUAUCGAAUCAGCCUCGGCUAACUCCGUGCCAGCAGCCGCGGUAAUACGGAGGAGGCAAGCGUUAUCCGGAAUUAUUGGGCGUAAAGAGUCCGUAGGUGGGUAACCAAGUCAGCUGUUAAAUAGUGAAGCUUAACUUCAUAGAGGCGGCUGAAACUGGUUGUCUAGAGUGUGGUAGGGGUAGAGGGAAUUUCCAGUGUAGCGGUGAAAUGCGUAGAUAUUGGAAAGAACACCGGUGGCGAAAGCGCUCUACUGGGCCUGCACUGACACUGAGGGACGAAAGCUAGGGGAGCGAAAGGGAUUAGAUACCCCUGUAGUCCUAGCCGUAAACGAUGGAUACUAGGCGUUGCCCG